AUGACGAUCAUGAGCUGGAACUGUCGAGGCCUCGGGCAACCUCGCACAGUUCAAGAACUAGUGUGUCUGGUACACACACACAAGCCCAAGCUCGUCUUCCUCACUGAAACUCGGCAGAAUAAUAAGUUCGUUACAAACCUCAAGUGGAGGCUGGGCCUCCGUCAUUGUAUCACGCAACCCGGCACCGGAAAAGGUGCUGGCAUUGCACUCUUCUAUGAUGAAAGUGUG
Molecule: ribosomal RNA, 228 nt
Filed under: Triticum aestivum (bread wheat)
Lineage: Eukaryota; Viridiplantae; Streptophyta; Magnoliopsida; Poales; Poaceae
Description: partial small subunit ribosomal RNA
Source: RNAcentral